AGUGAACGCUGGCGGUAGGCCUAACACAUGCAAGUCGAACGGCAGCACAGUAAGAGCUUGCUCUUACGGGUGGCGAGUGGCGGACGGGUGAGGCAUACAUCGGAAUCUACUUUUUCGUGGGGGAUAACGUAGGGAAACUUACGCUAAUACCGCAUACGACCUACGGGUGAAAGCAGGGGAUCUUCGGACCUUGCGCGAUUGAAUGAGCCGAUGUCGGAUUAGCUAGUUGGCGGGGUAAAGGCCCACCAAGGCGACGAUCCGUAGCUGGUCUGAGAGGAUGAUCAGCCACACUGGAACUGAGACACGGUCCAGACUCCUACGGGAGGCAGCAGUGGGGAAUAUUCGACAAUGGGCGCAAGCCUGAUCCAGCCAUACCGCGUGGGUGAAGAAGGCCUUCGGGUUGUAAAGCCCUUUUGUUGGGAAAGAAAAGCAGCAGGUUAAUACCCCGCUGUUCUGACGGUACCCAAAGAAUAAGCACCGGCUAACUUCGUG
This 492-nucleotide ribosomal RNA is filed under the name uncultured bacterium. RNAcentral's name for it is "partial 16S ribosomal RNA". It matches the Rfam family "Bacterial small subunit ribosomal RNA", at positions 29 to 507 of the family's 1533-position model. The record is from RNAcentral.